Molecule: long non-coding RNA, 1048 nt
Filed under: Numida meleagris (helmeted guineafowl)
Lineage: Eukaryota; Metazoa; Chordata; Aves; Galliformes; Numididae
Description: lncRNA (ENSNMEG00000016470.1)
Source: RNAcentral
CUCAAUUUGAGAUGUUCUGGCACUUUGUCCAUUGGACCAAAGGAAAGGGAAUUGCAUCUAAUUGCAUCCCAUUCCAAAUGGGAUGGUGCUUAAGGAGGGAGUAGGCAAAGGAAGUUCUGACAGCAAAAGACAGAGGUGUAAAUAGGAAGAACAGUAAGGCAAAGUGACCUGUUACUACCCCGGAUAACAAAGGGACAAGGAAUGGAAGAUGCAGGAAUAGUGCUAUCAAGGUUAAUAUAAACAGGGUAAUGCCUGUUUAUAUUAAAUAUACAGAUAGCACGGUUAAAACCAAACGAGCAGCUCUAGAAAUCUCCAUGAUGCUGAAAUGAGAGGCACUGUGGUGCAGAAGAGGCUGCUGAGCAGGCUGCAUUAUGCUCCUCUUGGUGCUAUAAUCUCUGCUGGAUGCUCUGCAGAUGAAGGAAUGGGUACACAGCCACUACUUCAGGUGUCCCCCCAGAAGACAGUACUAAAUAUAUGGGCCAAAGAGGGAGUGCUAAACCCACCAGGCAAGUGUACUGAGUCCAGACAUACCAUGAGGGCCUUCUGCAGCACAGCAAGGCUGAGGGGGCAAGGGGACCACCCAGGAGCUGGGAUAACUGUCAGAGUGGGACUGGCAGAGAUCUCACUGUCAGUGCAAAGAACUGAGGGGGUAUUUAUCGAACGCUUUGCAUAAGCAGCUUUGGAGCAGAACAACACAGGGGGAACAUGGACAGAAAACACCGCUGUCUAACGUUCAGCACCAGUGGGUUCUCCCGGCCCCAGCCCCCCCGCCAGCAGCCACCUCCUCCUGCUGCAGUGCCACCAUUCUUCUGAGACAUCAAUGGGGGAACUGGAGGCCUCAACCCUCUGCCCCAGUGCUGCGCACAGAGACAAAGGUGGCAGUGAGGGUGAGGGAGGGGGAUCUGCUUCUGGCUUCACUCCCAGCUGCAGAAAAAGUGUUUUGUCUAUUGUAUAGACAAUGCACCACAAGUCCCGAGGUGGAGCCAAACACAAACUCAUAAAGCAACUUCUGGUCAAAUUACAAUAAAAUGUGUUAAACUGCUGCUCA